RNAcentral lists this ribosomal RNA (535 nucleotides) under Dillwynella sp. SW-2012-1. RNAcentral describes it as "partial 16S ribosomal RNA". It matches the Rfam family "Bacterial large subunit ribosomal RNA", at positions 1816 to 2597 of the family's 2925-position model. The record is from RNAcentral. Lineage: Eukaryota; Metazoa; Mollusca; Gastropoda; Trochida; Skeneidae.
GGCUCCCUGCCCACCUUAAUAUAGGGAGUCGGACCUGCCCAGUGACUAUUUUAGUUAAACGGCCGCGGUACCCUGACCGUGCAAAGGUAGCAUAAUCAUUUGCCUUUUAAUUGAGGGCUAGUAUGAACGGUUUAACGAAAACUUUACUGUCUCCUUAAAAAUAUUUAUAAACUAACCUAUAGGUGAAGAGGCCUAUAUACAACUAAGGGACAAGAAGACCCUAUCGAGCUUAAGUGAACUUUUUAGAUAAAUUGUAAUCUAACUAUUACUAAUACAAUAUUUUGUAAUCACAAUCUAAAAACAACAUCUUUAGUUGGGGCGACUGAGGAAAAAUAAAAACUUCCUCUAUUUUUUAAAACUAUACUUUUCUAGAUCCAGCAAUUUCUGAUCAAAGGAAAAGUUACCGUAGGGAUAACAGCGCAAUCCUUCUAGAGAGCUCUUAUCGAAAGAAGGGUUUGCGACCUCGAUGUUGGACUAAGAUAUCCUGAAGGUGCAACAGCUUUCAACGGUUGGUCUGUUCGACCAUUAAAAUCUU